Non-coding RNA from Salvia hispanica, 183 nucleotides. NCBI's taxonomy places the organism in Eukaryota, Viridiplantae, Streptophyta, Magnoliopsida, Lamiales, Lamiaceae. The record is from RefSeq and is a predicted model, not a curated record.
CACCAUUCUUGGGUGAAUAUUCCAGUGCUGAGGGGCUGUGAGGUGAAGGUAUUGACGGUGCGAGGGUAGACUCCAGUCAAUUCAUCGGUGCUCCCUUGGAUUUGGUUCUAGUUGAAUAGAUCUGGGCUAUGUGGCGGGCUCUGAGCCAUAUUCUGAUACUCACUAAGUGGAUGAACCGGCUAG